CUUAGUUGUAAUUGAGAAUAGAUCUCCUCUCUCUUUAUGAUCUACAGAUUGUAAACUCAAGACCAGAACAUGCAGGAACUUUUUAACUGUGCUUUGAAGACCCGUGUACUUGGCGGCCGCCUCUUCUGAAAUGAAUGGUUCUUCUUGAGGCAGUGAAGGCAAGACACUGAAUACCCAAUACUCCUGGUUGGCUGUGGAGCAAAGGGGGCACACAACAUGAAAUGGGUGUCCAGAUGCCACUGUAUACCUGUCUGGAAGGAUGAAGCACAUGAACUGGAACUCAUGAAGCCUGCAGGAUCUCUCUCCAGGAUCCCUCUCCAACUGGGAGUGCCAUUGGCAUAAAGGCCCCAAGGACUUCAAUGGUCCAUAUAGUAGAGCCAGCUUCCUUUCCUCCUCUGGAUCCUCUCAGCCUCUGCCCUUCUGAUAUGUAGAAACAAGGUCUACCAAGAAAGUCAAAGGUCCACAACUGCCGGCAACUCAAAAACACUCCUUACGAGGAGCCCUACAGCCACAUACUCUCUUGAGAACCAGAGAAAGAAAAGGAAAGCAAUGAAUGGGACACCCAUCCAACAAACACAACAACAGAUACCAGAACAUUGAACUGCAAUCUUCAUGUUUAUUACUGUUCUACUCAUAAUAGCCAGAAAUCAGGAACAAACUAGAUGUUUGUAAAUGGAAAAGUGGAUUGAAGAAAAUGUGGUACAUGUACACAAUGGAAUAUUGCUGAACUAUGAAUAUAAUCAUGGUAUUCACAGGUAAAAAAUCCCAAGUGAGGUAACCCAGACCCCCCAAAAUAAAUAUGGCCAAGAGAAAGUCAUGCACAGAAAGGAAGGCACAAAGUGGAGUCAGACUGGCAUCUUCUCUCUUUGUCAGGGAUUCAU
This is a long non-coding RNA of Mastomys coucha (southern multimammate mouse), 881 nucleotides long. RefSeq lists it as uncharacterized. The record is from RefSeq and is a predicted model, not a curated record. The transcript is spliced from 5 exons. Lineage: Eukaryota; Metazoa; Chordata; Mammalia; Rodentia; Muridae.